CGAUUAGAGUUUGAUCCUGGCUCAGGAUGAACGCUGGCGGCGUGCUUAACACAUGCAAGUCGAACGAGCCUUCGGGCUAGUGGCGGACGGGUGAGUAACGCGUGAGAAUCUGCCCUCAGGAGGGGGAUAACGGCUGGAAACGGCCGCUAAUACCCCAUAUGCCGCGAGGUGAAAUGAGAAAUCGCCUGAGGAUGAGCUCGCGUCUGAUUAGCUAGUUGGUGGGGUAAGAGCCUACCAAGGCAUCGAUCAGUAGCUGGUCUGAGAGGAUGAUCAGCCACACUGGGACUGAGACACGGCCCAGACUCCUACGGGAGGCAGCAGUGGGGAAUUUUCCGCAAUGGGCGCAAGCCUGACGGAGCAACGCCGCGUGAGGGAUGAAGGCCUCUGGGCUGUAAACCUCUUUUCUCAAGGAAGAAGAACUGACGGUACUUGAGGAAUAAGCCACGGCUAAUUCCGUGCCAGCAGCCGCGGUAAUACGGGAGUGGCAAGCGUUAUCCGGAAUUAUUGGGCGUAAAGCGUCCGCAGGCGGUCUUGAAAGUCUGUUGUUAAAGCGUGGAGCUCAACUCCAUUCCAGCAAUGGAAACUAGAAGACUAGAGUGUGGUAGGGGCAGAGGGAAUUCCCGGUGUAGCGGUGAAAUGCGUAGAUAUCGGGAAGAACACCAGUGGCGAAGGCGCUCUGCUGGGCCAUAACUGACGCUCAUGGACGAAAGCCAGGGGAGCGAAAGGGAUUAGAUACCCCUGUAGUCCUGGCCGUAAACGAUGAACACUAGGUGUCGGGGGAAUCGACCCCCUCGGUGUCGUAGCCAACGCGUUAAGUGUUCCGCCUGGGGAGUACGCACGCAAGUGUGAAACUCAAAGGAAUUGACGGGGGCCCGCACAAGCGGUGGAGUAUGUGGUUUAAUUCGAUGCAACGCGAAGAACCUUACCAGGGUUUGACAUCCUGCGAAUCUUUUGGAAACAGAAGAGUGCCUUCGGGAGCGCAGAGACAGGUGGUGCAUGGCUGUCGUCAGCUCGUGUCGUGAGAUGUUGGGUUAAGUCCCGCAACGAGCGCAACCCACGUCUUUAGUUGCCAGCAUUGAGUUGGGCACUCUAGAGAGACCGCCGGUGAUAAACCGGAGGAAGGUGUGGAUGACGUCAAGUCAUCAUGCCCCUUACAUCCUGGGCUACACACGUACUACAAUGCUACGGACAGAGGGCAGCAAACUCGCGAGAGCUAGCAAAUCCCAUAAACCGUGGCUCAGUUCAGAUCGUAGGCUGCAACUCGCCUACGUGAAGGAGGAAUCGCUAGUAAUCGCAGGUCAGCAUACUGCGGUGAAUACGUUCCCGGGCCUUGUACACACCGCCCGUCACACCAUGGAAGUUGGCCAUGCCCGAAGUCGUUACUCCAACCCUUGUGGAGGAGGACGCCGAAGGUGGGGCUGAUGACUGGGGUGAAGUCGUAACAAGGUAGCCGUAG
RNAcentral lists this ribosomal RNA (1456 nucleotides) under Cyanobium sp. LEGE 11470. Its description in RNAcentral is "bacterial SSU rRNA". It matches the Rfam family "Bacterial small subunit ribosomal RNA". Lineage: Bacteria; Bacillati; Cyanobacteriota; Cyanophyceae; Synechococcales; Prochlorococcaceae. The record is from RNAcentral.